GACGAACGCUGGCGGCGUGCUUAACACAUGCAAGUCGAACGAUGAAGCCUUAGCUUGCUUUGGUGGAUUAGUGGCGAACGGGUGAGUAACACGUGAGCAACGUGCCCAGGACUCUGGAAUAACCGCGGGAAACCGUGGCUAAUACCGGAUAGGUGCCGAGGCCGCAUGGUCUUCGGUUGGAAAGUUUUUGCGGUUCUGGAUCGGCUCACGGCCUAUCAGCUUGUUGGUGGGGUAAUGGCCUACCAAGGCGACGACGGGUAGCCGGCCUGAGAGGGUGACCGGCCACACUGGGACUGAGACACGGCCCAGACUCCUACGGGAGGCUGCAGUGGGGAAUAUUGCACAAUGGGCGCAAGCCUGAUGCAGCAACGCCGCGUGGGGGAUGACGGCCUUCGGGUUGUAAACCUCUUUUAGUAGGGAAGAAGCGCAAGUGACGGUACCUGCAGAAAAAGCACCGGCUAACUACGUG
This 469-nucleotide ribosomal RNA is filed under the name uncultured bacterium. Its description in RNAcentral is "partial 16S ribosomal RNA". It matches the Rfam family "Bacterial small subunit ribosomal RNA", at positions 28 to 507 of the family's 1533-position model. The record is from RNAcentral.